RNAcentral lists this ribosomal RNA (2919 nucleotides) under Staphylococcus aureus. RNAcentral's name for it is "23S ribosomal RNA". It matches the Rfam family "Bacterial large subunit ribosomal RNA". The record is from RNAcentral. Lineage: Bacteria; Bacillati; Bacillota; Bacilli; Caryophanales; Staphylococcaceae.
UUAAGUUAUUAAGGGCGCACGGUGGAUGCCUUGGCACUAGAAGCCGAUGAAGGACGUUACUAACGACGAUAUGCUUUGGGGAGCUGUAAGUAAGCUUUGAUCCAGAGAUUUCCGAAUGGGGAAACCCAGCAUGAGUUAUGUCAUGUUAUCGAUAUGUGAAUACAUAGCAUAUCAGAAGGCACACCCGGAGAACUGAAACAUCUUAGUACCCGGAGGAAGAGAAAGAAAAUUCGAUUCCCUUAGUAGCGGCGAGCGAAACGGGAAGAGCCCAAACCAACAAGCUUGCUUGUUGGGGUUGUAGGACACUCUAUACGGAGUUACAAAGGACGACAUUAGACGAAUCAUCUGGAAAGAUGAAUCAAAGAAGGUAAUAAUCCUGUAGUCGAAAAUGUUGUCUCUCUUGAGUGGAUCCUGAGUACGACGGAGCACGUGAAAUUCCGUCGGAAUCUGGGAGGACCAUCUCCUAAGGCUAAAUACUCUCUAGUGACCGAUAGUGAACCAGUACCGUGAGGGAAAGGUGAAAAGCACCCCGGAAGGGGAGUGAAAUAGAACCUGAAACCGUGUGCUUACAAGUAGUCAGAGCCCGUUAAUGGGUGAUGGCGUGCCUUUUGUAGAAUGAACCGGCGAGUUACGAUUUGAUGCAAGGUUAAGCAGUAAAUGUGGAGCCGUAGCGAAAGCGAGUCUGAAUAGGGCGUUUAGUAUUUGGUCGUAGACCCGAAACCAGGUGAUCUACCCUUGGUCAGGUUGAAGUUCAGGUAACACUGAAUGGAGGACCGAACCGACUUACGUUGAAAAGUGAGCGGAUGAACUGAGGGUAGCGGAGAAAUUCCAAUCGAACCUGGAGAUAGCUGGUUCUCUCCGAAAUAGCUUUAGGGCUAGCCUCAAGUGAUGAUUAUUGGAGGUAGAGCACUGUUUGGACGAGGGGCCCCUCUCGGGUUACCGAAUUCAGACAAACUCCGAAUGCCAAUUAAUUUAACUUGGGAGUCAGAACAUGGGUGAUAAGGUCCGUGUUCGAAAGGGAAACAGCCCAGACCACCAGCUAAGGUCCCAAAAUAUAUGUUAAGUGGAAAAGGAUGUGGCGUUGCCCAGACAACUAGGAUGUUGGCUUAGAAGCAGCCAUCAUUUAAAGAGUGCGUAAUAGCUCACUAGUCGAGUGACACUGCGCCGAAAAUGUACCGGGGCUAAACAUAUUACCGAAGCUGUGGAUUGUCCUUUGGACAAUGGUAGGAGAGCGUUCUAAGGGCGUUGAAGCAUGAUCGUAAGGACAUGUGGAGCGCUUAGAAGUGAGAAUGCCGGUGUGAGUAGCGAAAGACGGGUGAGAAUCCCGUCCACCGAUUGACUAAGGUUUCCAGAGGAAGGCUCGUCCGCUCUGGGUUAGUCGGGUCCUAAGCUGAGGCCGACAGGCGUAGGCGAUGGAUAACAGGUUGAUAUUCCUGUACCACCUAUAAUCGUUUUAAUCGAUGGGGGGACGCAGUAGGAUAGGCGAAGCGUGCGAUUGGAUUGCACGUCUAAGCAGUAAGGCUGAGUAUUAGGCAAAUCCGGUACUCGUUAAGGCUGAGCUGUGAUGGGGAGAAGACAUUGAGUCUUCGAGUCGUUGAUUUCACACUGCCGAGAAAAGCCUCUAGAUAGAAAAUAGGUGCCCGUACCGCAAACCGACACAGGUAGUCAAGAUGAGAAUUCUAAGGUGAGCGAGCGAACUCUCGUUAAGGAACUCGGCAAAAUGACCCCGUAACUUCGGGAGAAGGGGUGCUCUUUAGGGUUAACGCCCAGAAGAGCCGCAGUGAAUAGGCCCAAGCGACUGUUUAUCAAAAACACAGGUCUCUGCUAAACCGUAAGGUGAUGUAUAGGGGCUGACGCCUGCCCGGUGCUGGAAGGUUAAGAGGAGUGGUUAGCUUCUGCGAAGCUACGAAUCGAAGCCCCAGUAAACGGCGGCCGUAACUAUAACGGUCCUAAGGUAGCGAAAUUCCUUGUCGGGUAAGUUCCGACCCGCACGAAAGGCGUAACGAUUUGGGCACUGUCUCAACGAGAGACUCGGUGAAAUCAUAGUACCUGUGAAGAUGCAGGUUACCCGCGACAGGACGGAAAGACCCCGUGGAGCUUUACUGUAGCCUGAUAUUGAAAUUCGGCACAGCUUGUACAGGAUAGGUAGGAGCCUUUGAAACGUGAGCGCUAGCUUACGUGGAGGCGCUGGUGGGAUACUACCCUAGCUGUGUUGGCUUUCUAACCCGCACCACUUAUCGUGGUGGGAGACAGUGUCAGGCGGGCAGUUUGACUGGGGCGGUCGCCUCCUAAAAGGUAACGGAGGCGCUCAAAGGUUCCCUCAGAAUGGUUGGAAAUCAUUCAUAGAGUGUAAAGGCAUAAGGGAGCUUGACUGCGAGACCUACAAGUCGAGCAGGGUCGAAAGACGGACUUAGUGAUCCGGUGGUUCCGCAUGGAAGGGCCAUCGCUCAACGGAUAAAAGCUACCCCGGGGAUAACAGGCUUAUCUCCCCCAAGAGUUCACAUCGACGGGGAGGUUUGGCACCUCGAUGUCGGCUCAUCGCAUCCUGGGGCUGUAGUCGGUCCCAAGGGUUGGGCUGUUCGCCCAUUAAAGCGGUACGCGAGCUGGGUUCAGAACGUCGUGAGACAGUUCGGUCCCUAUCCGUCGUGGGCGUAGGAAAUUUGAGAGGAGCUGUCCUUAGUACGAGAGGACCGGGAUGGACAUACCUCUGGUGUACCAGUUGUCGUGCCAACGGCAUAGCUGGGUAGCUAUGUGUGGACGGGAUAAGUGCUGAAAGCAUCUAAGCAUGAAGCCCCCCUCAAGAUGAGAUUUCCCAACUUCGGUUAUAAGAUCCCUCAAAGAUGAUGAGGUUAAUAGGUUCGAGGUGGAAGCAUGGUGACAUGUGGAGCUGACGAAUACUAAUCGAUCGAAGACUUAAUC